GAUGAAGAACGUAGCGAAAUGCGAUAAGUAAUGUGAAUUGCAGAAUUCAGUGAAUCAUCGAAUCUUUGAACGCACAUUGCGCCCCCUGGUAUUCCGGGGGGCAUGCCUGUCCGAGCGUCAUUACAACCCUCAAGCUCAGCUUGGUGUUGGGCCCCGCCGCCCCGGCGGGCCCUAAAGUCAGUGGCGGUGCCGUCCGGCUCCGAGCGUAGUAAUUCUUCUCGCUCUGGAGGUCCGGUCGUGUGCUCGCCAGCAACCCCCAAUUUUUUUCAGGUUGACCUCGGAUCAGGUAGGGAUAGCCGCUGAACUUAAGCAUAUCAAUAAGCGGAGGA
RNAcentral lists this unclassified non-coding RNA (329 nucleotides) under soil metagenome. Its description in RNAcentral is "partial contains 5.8S ribosomal RNA, internal transcribed spacer 2, and large subunit ribosomal RNA". The stretch from base 1 to 120 matches the Rfam family "5.8S ribosomal RNA", at positions 35 to 154 of the family's 154-position model. The record is from RNAcentral.